This 119-nucleotide ribosomal RNA is filed under the name Pteropus alecto (black flying fox). Lineage: Eukaryota; Metazoa; Chordata; Mammalia; Chiroptera; Pteropodidae. The record is from RNAcentral.
GUCUACGGCCAUGCUACCCUGAACAAGCCUGAUCCCAUCUGAUCUCGGAAGCUAAGCAGGGUUGGGCCUGGUUAAUACUUGGAUGGGAGACCACCUACGAAGACCAGGUGCUGUAGGCA